GCAUUGGUGGUUCAGUGGUAGAAUUCUUUUCUUCCAUAUAGGAGACCCAGGUUUGUUCCCAGCCAAUGCA
This 70-nucleotide transfer RNA is filed under the name Loxodonta africana (African savanna elephant). It matches the Rfam family "tRNA". Rfam says of the family: Transfer RNA (tRNA) molecules are approximately 80 nucleotides in length. Their secondary structure includes four short double-helical elements and three loops (D, anti-codon, and T loops). Further hydrogen bonds mediate the characteristic L-shaped molecular structure. tRNAs have two regions of fundamental functional importance: the anti-codon, which is responsible for specific mRNA codon recognition, and the 3' end, to which the tRNAs corresponding amino acid is attached (by aminoacyl-tRNA synthetases). tRNAs cope with the degeneracy of the genetic code in two manners: having more than one tRNA (with a specific anti-codon) for a particular amino acid; and 'wobble' base-pairing, i.e. permitting non-standard base-pairing at the 3rd anti-codon position. Lineage: Eukaryota; Metazoa; Chordata; Mammalia; Proboscidea; Elephantidae. The record is from Rfam by way of RNAcentral.